GUACACACCGCCCGUCGCUCCUACCGAUUGGGUGUGCUGGUGAAGUGUUCGGAUUGACUUCAGCGGUGGGCAACCUCUGCYGUCGUUGAGAAGAUCAUUAAACCCUCCCACCUAGAGGAAGGAGAAGUCGUAACAAGGUCUCCGUAGGUGAACCUGCAGAAGGAUCA
This 167-nucleotide ribosomal RNA is filed under the name uncultured eukaryote. Its description in RNAcentral is "partial small subunit ribosomal RNA". The record is from RNAcentral.